RNAcentral lists this ribosomal RNA (301 nucleotides) under uncultured bacterium. RNAcentral describes it as "partial 16S ribosomal RNA". It matches the Rfam family "Bacterial small subunit ribosomal RNA", at positions 509 to 807 of the family's 1533-position model. The record is from RNAcentral.
CAGUCGCCACGGUAAUACGUAGGGUGCAAGCGUUAAUCGGAAUUACUGGGCGUAAAGCGUGCGCAGGCGGUUAUAUAAGACGGAUGUGAAAUCCCCGGGCUCAACCUGGGAACUGCAUUUGUGACUGUAUAGCUAGAGUACGGCAGAGGGGGAUGGAAUUCCGCGUGUAGCAGUGAAAUGCGUAGAUAUGCGGAGGAACACCGAUGGCGAAGGCAAUCCCCUGGGCCUGUACUGACGCUCAUGCACGAAAGCGUGGGGAGCAAACAGGAUUAGAUACCCGGGUAGUCCCUGUCUCUUAUAC